GGUAGGGAAUCUUACCACAAUGGGCGCGAGCCUGAUGGAGCAACACCGCGUGAGUGAAGAAGGGUUUCGGCUCGUAAAGCUCUGUUGUUAAAGAAGAACACGUAUGAGAGUAACUGUUCAUACGUUGACGGUAUUUAACCAGAAAGUCACGGCUAACUACGUGCCAGCAGCCGCGGUAAUACGUAGGUGGCAAGCGUUAUCCGGAUUUAUUGGGCGUAAAGAGAGUGCAGGCGGUUUUCUAAGUCUGAUGUGAAAGCCUUCGGCUUAACCGGAGAAGUGCAUCGGAAACUGGAUAACUUGAGUGCAGAAGAGGGUAGUGGAACUCCAUGUGUAGCGGUGGAAUGCGUAGAUAUAUGGAAGAACACCAGUGGCGAAGGCGGCUACCUGGUCUGCAACUGACGCUGAGACUCGAAAGCAUGGGUAGCGAACAGGAUUAGAUACCCUGGUAG
Molecule: ribosomal RNA, 449 nt
Filed under: uncultured bacterium
Lineage: Bacteria
Description: bacterial SSU rRNA
Rfam family: Bacterial small subunit ribosomal RNA
Source: RNAcentral